RNAcentral lists this ribosomal RNA (711 nucleotides) under Triticum aestivum (bread wheat). RNAcentral's name for it is "partial small subunit ribosomal RNA". Lineage: Eukaryota; Viridiplantae; Streptophyta; Magnoliopsida; Poales; Poaceae. The record is from RNAcentral.
AUGAUGAUGAAGAUGAUGAGGGUUACAUAUUAUCGUCUUGACAAGAAUGGAAGAUUACCGUCUUAUAUAAGUUCUCGUGCCAUUCUUUCCACCAAAAAUGAAUACGUGGAUGAAUUAAAUGUGAAGCUUAUAGACCGAUUUCCUGGAGAAGAAAAGGUCUACUAUAGUUUUGAUUCAGCAGUGGAUGAUACUCACAAUCACUACUCACCUGAAUUCCUGAAUUCUCUGACACCUAAUGGCCUACCUCCACAUGUUCUUAGGUUGAAAAUAAAUUGCCCUGUAAUCUUGCUUCGGAAUUUAGAUCCUCAUAAUGGAUUAUGCAAUGGCACAAGGCUUAUUAUUAAGGCAUUUCAAGAUAAUGCUAUCGAUGCUGAAAUUAUUGGAGGACAACAUGCUGGAAAGCGAGUAUUCCUUCCAAGAAUUCCUUUGUAUCCUUCUGAAGAUGAUGUGCUUCCCUUCAAGUUCAAGAGAAAGCAAUUUCCAAUUCGUCUUAGCUUUGCAAUGACAAUCAAUAAAGCUCAAGGUCAAACAAUUCCGCAUGUUGGUAUCUACCUUCCAGAACCUGUGUUCUCUCACGGUCAACUAUAUGUUGCAUUGUCCCGAGGAAUAUCAAGGCAAACAACAAGAAUACUUGCCAAGCCAAACAGGGAUGUCGACCCAUCAGGAAAAAGUACCAAAAAUAUUGUCUAUAAGGAGGUUUUGGCACGAUAA